Molecule: ribosomal RNA, 484 nt
Filed under: uncultured bacterium
Lineage: Bacteria
Description: partial 16S ribosomal RNA
Rfam family: Bacterial small subunit ribosomal RNA
Source: RNAcentral
AUUGAACGCUGGCGGCAGGCCUAACACAUGCAAGUCGAGCGGAUGAAGGGAGCUUGCUCCUGGAUUCAGCGGCGGACGGGUGAGUAAUGCCUAGGAAUCUGCCUGGUAGUGGGGGAUAACGUCCGGAAACGGGCGCUAAUACCGCAUACGUCCUGAGGGAGAAAGUGGGGGAUCUUCGGACCUCACGCUAUCAGAUGAGCCUAGGUCGGAUUAGCUAGUUGGUGGGGUAAAGGCCUACCAAGGCGACGAUCCGUAACUGGUCUGAGAGGAUGAUCAGUCACACUGGAACUGAGACACGGUCCAGUCUCCUACGGGAGGCAGCAGUGGGGAAUAUUGGACAAUGGGCGAAAGCCUGAUCCAGCCAUGCCGUGUGUGUGAAGAAGGUCUUCGGAUUGUAAAGCACUUUAAGUUGGGAGGAAGGGCAGUAAGUUAAUACCUUGCUGUUUUGACGUUACCAACAGAAUAAGCACCGGCUAACUUCGUG